RNAcentral lists this ribosomal RNA (1399 nucleotides) under Escherichia coli. RNAcentral describes it as "partial 23S ribosomal RNA". It matches the Rfam family "Bacterial large subunit ribosomal RNA", at positions 1256 to 2640 of the family's 2925-position model. Lineage: Bacteria; Pseudomonadati; Pseudomonadota; Gammaproteobacteria; Enterobacterales; Enterobacteriaceae. The record is from RNAcentral.
GUGUGCUGUGAGGCAUGCUGGAGGUAUCAGAAGUGCGAAUGCUGACAUAAGUAACGAUAAAGCGGGUGAAAAGCCCGCUCGCCGGAAGACCAAGGGUUCCUGUCCAACGUUAAUCGGGGCAGGGUGAGUCGACCCCUAAGGCGAGGCCGAAAGGCGUAGUCGAUGGGAAACAGGUUAAUAUUCCUGUACUUGGUGUUACUGCGAAGGGGGGACGGAGAAGGCUAUGUUGGCCGGGCGACGGUUGUCCCGGUUUAAGCGUGUAGGCUGGUUUUCCAGGCAAAUCCGGAAAAUCAAGGCUGAGGCGUGAUGACGAGGCACUACGGUGCUGAAGCAACAAAUGCCCUGCUUCCAGGAAAAGCCUCUAAGCAUCAGGUAACAUCAAAUCGUACCCCAAACCGACACAGGUGGUCAGGUAGAGAAUACCAAGGCGCUUGAGAGAACUCGGGUGAAGGAACUAGGCAAAAUGGUGCCGUAACUUCGGGAGAAGGCACGCUGAUAUGUAGGUGAAGCGACUUGCUCGUGGAGCUGAAAUCAGUCGAAGAUACCAGCUGGCUGCAACUGUUUAUUAAAAACACAGCACUGUGCAAACACGAAAGUGGACGUAUACGGUGUGACGCCUGCCCGGUGCCGGAAGGUUAAUUGAUGGGGUCAGCGCAAGCGAAGCUCUUGAUCGAAGCCCCGGUAAACGGCGGCCGUAACUAUAACGGUCCUAAGGUAGCGAAAUUCCUUGUCGGGUAAGUUCCGACCUGCACGAAUGGCGUAAUGAUGGCCAGGCUGUCUCCACCCGAGACUCAGUGAAAUUGAACUCGCUGUGAAGAUGCAGUGUACCCGCGGCAAGACGGAAAGACCCCGUGAACCUUUACUAUAGCUUGACACUGAACAUUGAGCCUUGAUGUGUAGGAUAGGUGGGAGGCUUUGAAGUGUGGACGCCAGUCUGCAUGGAGCCGGCCUUGAAAUACCACCCUUUAAUGUUUGAUGUUCUAACGUUGACCCGUGAUCCGGGUUGCGGACAGUGUCUGGUGGGUAGUUUGACUGGGGCGGUCUCCUCCUAAAGAGUAACGGAGGAGCACGAAGGUUGGCUAAUCCUGGUCGGACAUCAGGAGGUUAGUGCAAUGGCAUAAGCCAGCUUGACUGCGAGCGUGACGGCGCGAGCAGGUGCGAAAGCAGGUCAUAGUGAUCCGGUGGUUCUGAAUGGAAGGGCCAUCGCUCAACGGAUAAAAGGUACUCCGGGGAUAACAGGCUGAUACCGCCCAAGAGUUCAUAUCGACGGCGGUGUUUGGCACCUCGAUGUCGGCUCAUCACAUCCUGGGGCUGAAGUAGGUCCCAAGGGUAUGGCUGUUCGCCAUUUAAAGUGGUACGCGAGCUGGGUUUAGAACGUCGUGAGACAGUUCGGUCCCUA